RNA transcript from Macadamia integrifolia, 1709 nucleotides. It is a transcript of the gene named trihelix transcription factor GT-3b-like, with no coding region annotated. Lineage: Eukaryota; Viridiplantae; Streptophyta; Magnoliopsida; Proteales; Proteaceae. The record is from RefSeq and is a predicted model, not a curated record. The transcript has 3 exons.
UAUCAUAAUCUAGAGAGAGAGAGAGAGAGAGAGAGAGAAUUGAUUCAAAGAAAAAGAAAGAUGGGUUAUUAGUUUCAAUCAAUAUUCUCUUCUAAGACCUCUUUCUCUCUCUCUCUCUCUCUCUUCUUUCACACCUUAUUAUAUAAUAGAUUAAUUCCUCCAUACUCUACUUCUUUCUUUGUCCCUCCUUCUCUUCUUCUUCUUCUAUGUCACCGCCUUCACAUAGAUAAUAAUUCUCUCUCUGACCCUUUAGGUUCACGCCCUUCCAACCUCGUCUCCGUCGUGUUUUGACGUCACCACUGCAUCUUCACAGGAAUUAAGUAUCCAAACAUCUCUUUCUCUCUCUACAUGAACCAUGGAAGGAAGUCAUCAUCAACUUCUAAGUGGUAACAUGAUGGUGGACACAGGUGAUCGGUUCCCUCAAUGGAGUCUCCAAGAGACAAAGGAGUUUCUGAUGAUCAGGGCAGAUCUAGAUCAAACCUUCAUGGAGACCAAACGCAACAAGCUUCUCUGGGAAAUCAUCUCUUCCAAGCUGAAGGAAAGGGGUUACAGUCGUAGCCCUGAGCAGUGCAAGUGCAAAUGGAAGAACCUAGUCACCCGUUAUAAAGGUUGCGAAACCAUGGAACCCGAAUCGGUGCGUCAACAAUUUCCAUUCUAUAAUGAGUUGCAGGCCAUCUUCACAGGUAGGAUGCAGAGGAUGUUAUGGUUGGAAGCAGAAGCUGCUGCUGCCGGCGGCGGUGGCAGUUCUAAAAAGAAAGGGGUGAGGUUAUCAUCGGACGACGAAGAUGAUAACGACGAAAGCGAUGAGGAUAAUAAGGGUGGUAGUAUUAAGAAGAAGAGGAAGGGAAAAGCUAUUAUUACUAGUAGUGGUGGUGGUGGUGGUGGUAAUACUAACAAUUUGCAAGAGAUAUUAGAUAACUUCAUGAGACAACAAAUACAAAUGGAGGUGCAAUGGAGAGAAGCUGUAGAGGCAAGGGAGGAAGAAAGGAGGUUGAAAGAGAUGGAAUGGAGACAAACCAUGGAAGCUUUGGAGAAAGAGAGGAUUAUGAUGGAUAGGAGAUGGAGGGAGCGAGAAGAACAAAGGCGGAUUCGAGAAGAAUCUAGGGCUGAGAAGAGAGAUGCUCUUAUCACAGCUCUUCUAAAUAAGCUAAGGCGUGAGGAGGACUUCUAGGUUUUUGUUUAUUUGGAAGGAGCAGUUAUUACAGUUACUAUCUCUUUGUUCAUUAAUUCCUUCUUUGUUUUCUAGAGAAAGAUGAGAGAGAGACUCUUGUGGAGCCUUGCAGGGAAUGUUCUUGUCAAAAAAAUUGGCCAGAUUCAUAUAGGGGGUUCCAGAAGAGGUAGUGGCAGACCUAAAAGGACUUUUGACAAAGUGUAAGGAAAGUUAUGCAAUUGGUAGGGUAGAUUCUAGUAUGAUCGCAGAUAGACCUCUAUGGAGGACAAAGACUCGAGUAGCUGACCCCUUGUAGGAGAUGUUCCUGAGAUGUUGUUCUAUUUUUAUUGCUUAAACGUAUCUCUUUUAUCUCUUUUAUCGUCUUCUACUUCCUCGUUGCACUUCUUUUAUCUUGUAUUUCUUUUCCUUGAUGAUUAUAUUGGAUCCAUGUAGCAGACCCCAUUUAGUUGGGAUAAUGUUAUGGUUGUUGUUGUUGAAUAUUCGUUCACUUGAAUAUAUUUUUGUUGAUGAAAAGCCAAAUUGAUUGAGGGCUUUAUAA